RNAcentral lists this non-coding RNA (20 nucleotides) under Arabidopsis thaliana (thale cress). Lineage: Eukaryota; Viridiplantae; Streptophyta; Magnoliopsida; Brassicales; Brassicaceae. The record is from RNAcentral.
UCGUCCUUCGCUAACCGGUA